CCUACGGGUGGCAGCAGUGGGGAAUAUUGGACAAUGGGCGAAAGCCUGAUCCAGCCAUGCCGCGUGUGUGAAGAAGGCCUUCGGGUUGUAAAGCACUUUCAGUGGGGAAGAAAGCCUUGGGGCUAAUACCCUCGAGGAAGGACAUCACCCACAGAAGAAGCACCGGCUAACUCCGUGCCAGCAGCCGCGGUAAUACGGAGGGUGCGAGCGUUAAUCGGAAUUACUGGGCGUAAAGCGCGCGUAGGCGGUCUGAUAAGCCGGUUGUGAAAGCCCCGGGCUCAACCUGGGAACGGCAUCCGGAACUGUCAGGCUAGAGUGCAGGAGAGGAAGGUAGAAUUCCCCGUGUAGCGGUGAAAUGCGUAGAGAUCGGGAGGAAUACCGGUGGCGAAGGCGGCCUUCUGGAAUGACACUGACGCUGAGGUGCGAAAGCGUGGGUAGCAAACAGGAUUAGAUACCCGAGUAGUC
This 465-nucleotide ribosomal RNA is filed under the name Vreelandella stevensii. Its description in RNAcentral is "partial 16S ribosomal RNA". It matches the Rfam family "Bacterial small subunit ribosomal RNA", at positions 338 to 795 of the family's 1533-position model. Lineage: Bacteria; Pseudomonadati; Pseudomonadota; Gammaproteobacteria; Oceanospirillales; Halomonadaceae. The record is from RNAcentral.